AUGCGAUUUAAACAAGAGAUUAGACUACUCACAUUAAGCACCAUCAGACAGUGUCAACCAGUUGAGACUUCUUCCCUAAGUGGCUGUUUACCCAUGUGGUCGAUCUUUCCUCUCCUGAAGCUCUUCCUACCUCACCUCCUCCUCUGGCCUCACUCUCUCUCCCAUCUCCGGUGGUUCCAGCGGUGGAAAGAAGAGGGAUGGAGGCCUGUAUCCCCCUACUAUGAUAUUAGGUGUUGUUAUCUUUCUAAUAAACCAGAUGUGCCAGUUAGUCUUCUCCUGCUCUUCCUUGCUCUAUACCUGGUGGCUGGAGCUCUUGCAAGCAGUGGAGGAUGGCUCCCUGGCGGAUCUGCUCCUCUGCAGGGUUUGGCCCCUGGCUUCACCCUCCCAUACACUUCCCAGCUGCCGCCUGUCCAUGUUGAUGGCAAGUUGUUUGGCUUGGUGGGUGUCAUCGACGAUAGAGCCUAUGCAGGAUACGCGCCUUCUUUAUCCAUGGCAUCUCGCCGUCUGCUAGAUCCUUGUUCAGCGACGUCCUCUUCCUUUGGCCUUUCCCUUUUGCCCUGGUAUCAAUGA
This 570-nucleotide ribosomal RNA is filed under the name Triticum aestivum (bread wheat). Its description in RNAcentral is "partial small subunit ribosomal RNA". The record is from RNAcentral. Lineage: Eukaryota; Viridiplantae; Streptophyta; Magnoliopsida; Poales; Poaceae.